This 877-nucleotide ribosomal RNA is filed under the name uncultured archaeon. Its description in RNAcentral is "bacterial SSU rRNA". It matches the Rfam family "Archaeal small subunit ribosomal RNA", at positions 1 to 854 of the family's 1478-position model. The record is from RNAcentral.
UUCCGGUUGAUCCUGCCGGACCCCACUGCUAUCGGGGUGGGACUAAAACAUGCGAGUCGAGCGCCCUCAAGCUAUGGUGAAGGCGCGGCGAACGGCUCAGUAACACGUGGCUAACCUACCCUUUGGACGGGGACAACCCCGGGAAACUGGGCCUAAUCCCCGAUAGAUGAGAAGUCCUGGAAUGGUUUCUCAUCUAAAAGGUGUUUAGAGCAUGCUUCUAGGCGUCGCCAAAGGAUGGGGCCGCGGCCGAUCAGGUUGUUGGUGAGGUAACGGCUCACCAAGCCUAUAACCGGUACGGGCCGUGAGAGCGGGAGCCCGGAGAUGGGCACCGAGAUAAGGGCCCAGGCCCUACGGGGCACAGCAGUUGCGAAAGCUCCGCAAUGCGCGAAAGCGUGACGGGGCUACCCCGAGUGCCGUCCGCUGAGGACGGCUUUUCCACGGUGUAAGGAGCCGUGGGAAUAAGGAGAGGGUAAGCCUGGUGUCAGCCGCCGCGGUAAAACCAGCUCUCCGAGUGGUAGGGACGAUUAUUGGGCUUAAAGCGUCCGUAGCCGGCUUGGCAAGUCUCCCGUUAAAUCCAGCGACCUAAUCGUUGGGCUGCAGGAGAUACUGUUGGGCUAGGGGGCGGGAGAGGCCGACGGUAUUCCCGGGGUAGGGGUGAAAUCCUAUAAUCCCGGGAGGACCACCAGUGGCGAAGGCUGUCGGCUAGAACGCGCUCGACGGUGAGGGACGAAAGCUGGGGGAGCGAACCGGAUUAGAUACCCGGGUAGUCCCAGCUGUAAACGAUGCGGGCUAGGUGUUGGGGUGGCUACGAGCCACUUCAGUGCCGCAGGGAAGCCAUUAAGCCCGCCGCCUGGGGAGUACGGCCGCAAGGCUGAAA